CCCAUGUCCCCUGCUGGUCCAUAUGCCCUGCUGUUCAGCCAGGAGUUGUGUGUGGUGUUGGCUGCUCCGCUUAAUGGUCGGGAAAGGAGGCAAUCAUGUCCCUUCCAUCUGCCGGCUGAGAGCCCGUGCAGAGGAAGCCCAUUAGCAGCCCCUGCUCGUGUGCCAGCCUCAAUUAGCCUAAGCGGGAGCAAAGGGCAGCACGGGAUUCCCAACCCUCAUAGAACAGCCAAGGAGCGGGUCACCGGAUGCCUCGUUAAAGUUGAAUUUCAGGAGGAAAAUGUUUGUGAGCCUAAGAAGAGGACCUGCCCCCUGAAAAACUGGGCUGGAGAUACCUGCUCCUUCUCCCCUGCCUGGUUCUCAUGGCCCCUUCCUGCUUCGGGUGGACCAUCAACUGCACAUGGCCCAGGGGCACCAGGGAGGAUGCGUUGGAAACGGGACAAGGGCACAGCGCCCACCUUCCCAUCCUGCCCGGAGGAACCCCGGCCGGCAGCUUGUGACAGAUGGCAGUGCUUUGAACGAAGACUUCAAUUUUAACUCUUUUCGAUAAUCCAGCACCCAAAAGCCACAUACUUUAAAACUGUCCCUGGAUCAUAGAUCAGCCCAAAGAGACCAAGUCCAGCUCAGUUAAUAACCUCUGGAAACACCAUCAAUCACUGGGAGAGCCUCUCCUUAGGGCUCUCCAUACCAACUCCUGGCAGAGAUGAAUGAAUGGGCCACUGUGCUUGGCAGUGGCUCUGCCUCUUGGGCUAUUUGCAUCUCACCUUCUUGCGCUAGAACUUGGACUUUUUGGAGCUGACCCCAGGGUGGAGACAGGAGUCAGGCCGCUGGGCAGGAGCAACUGAGUGACUGUCGCUUGGAGAGAGGAGGCUGAUGUCUCUCCCUGUCCUGCUCAAGGGAACCCCUCCCCUUCUUCCUGAUCUCUCGUGGCCUGGUGGUCUCUGUGGCCUCAGGUGGGCUGGCCACAACCCCAGAUGGCCUCAGCCUCUCCUGCGGGAGCCCCUCUAAGAGUCUGCCCCCUGGGGAGCCGUCACACAGGAGUCAUAUGGAGAACACAGUGUGCUUGAGCAAUACCUGCUUCUCGUUGGGUGGGAGCUGCCACCGGCCGACAGCCACGCUUUGGACAAUUUUGUUCCACAGAGGCUGGGCCCUGCCCUGGAAGCUGGCUGACCAGGGACUGCAUCCUCUCUGAUGGCGACACCCUGAGGCCUAUGAGUUCCUCCUUCUGCUGGCUCUCAUACCCAGCCCUGCUGCCUGCCACUUAAGUACCCUGCCCACACACCCAGCCUCCUAGUCUGUCACCUCCUGCUUCUCCCUUCAGUCCUCCCUGCACACCCUGCUAGAGGCCUCCCUGAAGCCUGAUCACAUCACUCCUGCACCUAAAUCCAAGUUUCCUGGCCUGGUGUUCAAUUCCAAACUAACUCUGCCAGGGACACUGUCCCUGUUAUUUACUCCUCAGCCCAAACUCUUGGCUCAGGCCCAAUGAAUCAUUCCUCCUUCACCCACCCCACCUUGUGCAUUUCAGCACAUGGUUACUCAUAACAUGCAUGAAGCCUCCUCUCUGUCCUCUCUCCACCUAUUAAAUUUCUACCCAUUCUGGGUUUGUUUUUUUUUUUUUUUUUGUAGACGGAGUCUCGCUCUGUCAUCAGGCUGGAGUGCAGUGGUGCGAUCUCAGCUCACUGCAACCUCCGCCUCCCGGGUUCAAGCGAUUCUCCUGUCUCAGCCUGCCGAGUAGCUGGGACUACAGGCAAGUGCCACCAUGCCCGACUAAUUUUUUGUAUUUUUAGUAGAGGUGCGGUUUCACCAUGUGGGCCAGGAUGGUCUCAAUCUCUUGACCUCAUGAUCCACCCACCUCAGCCUCCCAAAGUGCUGGGAUUACAGAUGUGAGCCACCGUGCCUGGCCUAAAAUCCUACCCAUUCUGUAAGUCCCAGUUGAAGUCUCACCUCCUCCAUGAAGUCCUCCUUGACCACUCCAGUCCCUACUUCUGGAACUAAUGGCAUGCACUGUCACUAAUAUAGCCCUAGGCACUGGGCAUUGGCAACUUUGUAUUGCUAGGUUCAUGCUUGACUUGGAAGCCCUGCCUUAUAUGUCUUUGAACCCUGCACAGACAUUCUUUUCUUUGUAUCUCCCACCCCAGACCUAUCUUCACAUGUCCAGGUAUUUCCCAGGCUUCAAAGCUGCCUCCUUUGGAAUCCAUGCUCUUGGGAGUGUGAUGGAACCAGAUGAACAGCUCAAGAGGCAGGAACCAUGCUGUCCUCUUCACUCCUGUGUUCUUAGUGCCUCACACCCAGCCUUUUGUUCAGAGAGCAGAUGAAAGUUACUGGCUGGAUUGGAUUGCUUUGGACUUCAUCUUCACCUCUUCAGUGGCAUGUGUUGCUUUCUGCCUUAUGUUAUAAAUGAUAUUCUCACACUCAUCCUAUAACCUACUCAACAUCUUGUUUCCCCAGCAACAUCUAUCAAGGUACCUUGCUGCAAAUGCCAAACACUUGGAUGAAAGCCUGGAUGAAGUCUCGUCCAGCUACCCUGGGAAGUGCUCUCUGGUCUAUGGUAACCUACAGGUGGAACUUGAGGUGUGAUGUGCCACCUGGGCUUGGUAAACAGCCCCUCCUUAUGUGUAUAUACCACAUUUUCUAUAUCCACACAUGCAGGUGGACAUUUAGACUGCUUCCUCAUCUUGGCUAUUGUGAAUAACAUUGCAGUGGAAUAUUACUCAGCCACAAAAAAGGAAGGCAAUCUUUUCACAUUCAACAAAAUAAAUGAACCUUGAGAUCAUUAUGCUGAGUGAAACAAACCAGUAACAGAAAGACAAAUACUUCAUGAUCUCACUUAUAUGAGGCAUCUAAAGCAGUUAAACCCACAGAAGCAGAAUGUGGAGUGGUGGUUACCAGGACCUGGGAGGAGGGGGAAAUGGAGAGUUACUAUUCAAGGAGAAUUGAUGUUCAUAGAGUCAGUCAUGCAAGAUGAGAGAGUUCCAGAGACGUAGAUCAUUGUGCUUAGUGUUAAUGAUAAUGUAUUGUACACAUAAAAUUUUGGCGAAGAGGGCAGAUUUCAUGUUAUGUGUGUUUUUCAUAAUAAAAUAGUUUCUAAAGGAAUUAAAACUAUAUAUAUUAAAACUAUCCCACACUAUACCCCUCUGGCCCCAGGAUUCUUCUUCCCUUAGUUCUUUCUGCCCAGAACCACCUGAAGACUGGCAGCUGAGUGUUCUGAAAAAAGCUCUAAGCUUGGGGGAGGGAGAUCCAGGUUUCUUGACUGUACUUCUUAUUGACUGUGUGAUGCGUGCAAAAUACUUAAACUCCUUUCUCCACGUUUCCUUAUCUUUGAAAAUGGAGCACAUAGAAAUACCAGUCUUGGCUACCUCGCAGAGUUUCUGGGAAAAUCUAAUGAGCUCAUGUUUGAGGAAGCGCCUUG
This 3406-nucleotide long non-coding RNA is filed under the name Pan paniscus (pygmy chimpanzee). Its description in RNAcentral is "lncRNA (ENSPPAG00000044150.1)". The record is from RNAcentral. Lineage: Eukaryota; Metazoa; Chordata; Mammalia; Primates; Hominidae.